RNAcentral lists this transfer RNA (129 nucleotides) under Candidatus Bathyarchaeota archaeon. RNAcentral describes it as "tRNA-Ala". RNAcentral also lists the same sequence under 1 other name. The record is from RNAcentral. Lineage: Archaea; Thermoproteati; Candidatus Bathyarchaeota.
GGGGCCGUAGUCUAGUACGGCAUGACGACAGUUAGGCUCUUCACGGAGCCUAGCCGCUAAGGGCUCCAGAAGGUAAAAGACGGGUUUGCGACCCGUAGGUCGUCGGUUCAAAUCCGGCCGGCCCCACCA